Regulatory RNA element from Chania multitudinisentens RB-25, 122 nucleotides. It matches the Rfam family "RtT RNA". From Rfam's summary of the family: This family represents a bacterial cis-regulatory element known as RtT RNA. The exact function of RtT is unknown although it is thought that it may be involved in changing the cellular response in relation to amino acid starvation. NCBI's taxonomy places the organism in Bacteria, Pseudomonadati, Pseudomonadota, Gammaproteobacteria, Enterobacterales, Yersiniaceae. The record is from Rfam.
GUAUCGAGUAAAUCGUAAAGGAUGAGAACCGUAGAGGUUCGAGUCGAGCAGCGCGAGACAACAUCGCGUGAGCGAUGGCCCGGAGGGCGAGGCGAAGCCGAGUUAUCCUGCACGACCCACCA